Molecule: ribosomal RNA, 301 nt
Filed under: uncultured bacterium
Lineage: Bacteria
Description: partial 16S ribosomal RNA
Rfam family: Bacterial small subunit ribosomal RNA
Source: RNAcentral
CAGCCGCCACGGUAAUACGUAGGUGGCAAGCGUUGUCCGGAAUUAUUGGGCGUAAAGCGCGCGCAGGCGGUUUCUUAAGUCUGAUGUGAAAGCCCCCGGCUUAACCGGGGAGGGUCAUUGGAAACUGGGAGACUUAGAGUGCAGAAGAGGAGAGUGGAAUUCCAUGUGUAGCGGUGAAAUGCGUAGAUAUAUGGAGGAACACCAGUGGCGAAGGCGACUCUCUGGUCUGUAACUGACGCUGAGGCGCGAAAGCGUGGGGAGCAAACAGGAUUAGAUACCCGCGUAGUCCCUGUCUCUUAUA